UCUGCUAGGGUUUUCUUUCGCCCCCUUUUUGCACCGCCGCUGCAAACGGCCUCCGUCGCGUUUUCGCCGAUUGGAGAUACGACGUGAUGAGCUCCGAAGGUAUGAAGGUUGUUGAGGGAUGCCGCGCACGUGGAGGCGCAACUCUCGCGGAGGAGGCCUCUAGCUCCGAGUUGUGCGCCGAUUGGGACUGUUGGAGGCGGGGGCUGCUGCUAGGAUUUCUCAACCCUUCCCUUUUCCAUUAGUUUCGGGCCUGGAUUAGGAAUUAGCUAUUGGGCUUGUUGGGCUGUCAUUAUUUUGGGCCUGUAAUUAGGUUUAAUUUUUUUUUGGCCCGGGCAUAUUUGGGCUUGUACAAGGAGGAUUGUUUAUCUUAUACAUCCAAGUUACUAGGUGAAGAUUAUCUCUUA
Long non-coding RNA from Gossypium raimondii (Peruvian cotton), 404 nucleotides. RefSeq lists it as uncharacterized. Lineage: Eukaryota; Viridiplantae; Streptophyta; Magnoliopsida; Malvales; Malvaceae. The transcript is spliced from 2 exons. The record is from RefSeq and is a predicted model, not a curated record.